UGGGGAAUUUUGGACAAUGGGCGCAAGCCUGAUCCAGCCAUGCCGCGUGUCUGAAGAAGGCCUUCGGGUUGUAAAGGACUUUUGUCAGGGAAGAAAAGGCUGUUGCUAAUAUCGACAGCUGAUGACGGUACCUGAAGAAUAAGCACCGGCUAACUACGUGCCAGCAGCCGCGGUAAUACGUAGGGUGCGAGCGUUAAUCGGAAUUACUGGGCGUAAAGCGAGCGCAGACGGUUACUUAAGCAGGAUGUGAAAUCCCCGGGCUCAACCUGGGAACUGCGUUCUGAACUGGGUGACUAGAGUGUGUCAGAGGGAGGUAGAAUUCCACGUGUAGCAGUGAAAUGCGUAGAGAUGUGGAGGAAUACCGAUGGCGAAGGCAGCCUCCUGGGAUAACACUGGCGUUCAUGCUCGAAAGCGUGGGUAGCAAACAGGAUUAGAUACCCUGGUAGUCCACGCCCUAAACGAUGUCAAUUAGCUGUUGGGCAACUUGAUUGCUUAGUAGCGUAGCUAACGCGUGAAAUUGACCGCCUGGGGAGUACGGUCGCAAGAUUA
RNAcentral lists this ribosomal RNA (549 nucleotides) under uncultured bacterium. RNAcentral describes it as "bacterial SSU rRNA". It matches the Rfam family "Bacterial small subunit ribosomal RNA", at positions 355 to 896 of the family's 1533-position model. The record is from RNAcentral.